RNAcentral lists this ribosomal RNA (1197 nucleotides) under marine sediment metagenome. RNAcentral describes it as "bacterial LSU rRNA". It matches the Rfam family "Bacterial large subunit ribosomal RNA", at positions 1413 to 2612 of the family's 2925-position model. The record is from RNAcentral.
AGGCGAUGGACAACAGGUUGAAAUUCCUGUACCACCAAUAAUUGUUUGACAGAUGCAGUGACACAGAAGGAUAGACGAAGCGCGUUGAUGGUAGAGCGCGUCCAAGCACUGAGGCAGAUGGCAUAGUGAAGUACGUGCUGUUAAUGCUGGGGUGUGAUGGGGACAGAAAAUAAGUAUGGAAGUCGUUGAAUUCACGCUGGCAAGAAAAGCUGCUAUGGAGAUUAGAGGUGCCCGUACCGCAAACCGACACAGGUAGGCGAGGUGAGAAACCUAAGACGAUCGGGAUAACCCUUGUUAAGGAACUCGGCAAAAUGACCCCGUAACUUCGGGAGAAGGGGAGCCACCAUUUAUGGUGGUCGCAGUGAAUAGGCUCAAGCGACUGUUUAGCAAAAACACAGGUCUGUGCGAAAUCGUAAGAUGACGUAUACGGGCUGACGCCUGCCCAGUGCCGGAAGGUUAAGGGGAAGUGUUAGGAUUUAUUCCAAAGCACGGAACUUAAGCCCCGGUGAACGGCGGCCGUAACUAUAACGGUCCUAAGGUAGCGAAAUUCCUUGUCAGGUAAGUUCUGACCCGCACGAAUGGCGUAACGACUUGAGCACUGUCUCAACAAGGGACCCGGCGAAAUUGUAGUACCAGUGAAGAUGCUGGUUACCCGCGAUAGGACGGAAAGACCCCGUAGAGCUUUACUGUAGCUUGGCAUUGAAUUUUGGUAUUAGAUGUACAGGAUAGGUGGGAGACUUGGAAACUAGGACGUCAGUCUUGGUGGAGUCAUCCUUGGGAUACCACCCUUCUAAUACUAGGGUUCUAACAACGUGCUGUGAUCCAGGCGUUGGACAUUGCCAGGUGGGCAGUUUGACUGGGGCGGUCGCCUCCCAAAGAGUAACGGAGGCGCCCAAUGGUUCCCUCAGAAUGGUUGGAAAUCAUUCAUUAGAGUGCAAAAGCAAAAGGGAGCUUGACUGCGAGAGAGACAUCUCGAGCAGGUACGAAAGUAGGGUUUAGUGAUCCGGCGGUAUGAGAGUGGAAUUGCCGUCGCUCAACGGAUAAAAGCUACCUCGGGGAUAACAGGCUUAUCUCCCCCAAGAGUCCACAUCGACGGGGAGGUUUGGCACCUCGAUGUCGGCUCGUCGCAUCCUGGGGCUGAAGUAGGUCCCAAGGGUUGGGCUGUUCGCCCAUUAAAGCGGCACGCGAGCUGGGUUC